This 87-nucleotide transfer RNA is filed under the name Bacillus mobilis. RNAcentral describes it as "tRNA-Thr". Lineage: Bacteria; Bacillati; Bacillota; Bacilli; Caryophanales; Bacillaceae. The record is from RNAcentral.
AAGAAGUUAGGUGGGGGUCGGGCUUCCCGUAAAAGCCCGAUUGGUGAGGGCUGAUAAUCAGUGGGGGAUGAACGCCCCCACUGAUUA